GGGUGUGAGGGAGACCUGCCUGUGACAUCUGUCACCCCAUUGAUCACCAGGGUUGAUUUGGCUGAUCUGGCUGGGUAGGUGGGUGUCCCCAUCCUCCCUCCCCACUCCACGUGCCCCGCUUCCGAAGCUGCACACUGGCUCUAAGAGGACAACCUUCCCCGAUGGAGGAGGACCAUUCUUCGGUCAAGGGUAGAGGAGUAGCUGCCCACUCGCCUCCUCAAACCUCAAGAUGUCAAGCUCUCAAGAUUAAGAGAGAGAAUAAUUUUGACAUUACCAAUUCCUUGCAAAACACCGAAUCAAUAUUU
Unclassified non-coding RNA from Mustela putorius furo (domestic ferret), 305 nucleotides. Its record names the gene 7SK. It matches the Rfam family "7SK RNA". From Rfam's summary of the family: 7SK was discovered as an abundant small nuclear RNA in the mid-70s but a possible function has only recently been suggested. Two independent studies have found that 7SK RNA binds the CDK9/cyclin T complex (known as elongation factor P-TEFb). P-TEFb activates transcription by phosphorylating the C-terminal domain of RNA polymerase II. The record is from Ensembl. NCBI's taxonomy places the organism in Eukaryota, Metazoa, Chordata, Mammalia, Carnivora, Mustelidae.